Molecule: ribosomal RNA, 253 nt
Filed under: uncultured bacterium
Lineage: Bacteria
Description: partial 16S ribosomal RNA
Rfam family: Bacterial small subunit ribosomal RNA
Source: RNAcentral
UACGUAGGGGGCAAGCGUUGUUCGGAAUUACUGGGCGUAAAGGGCGCGUAGGCGGUCUUGUAAGUCUUGUGUGAAAUCCCUCGGCUUAACUGAGGAACUGCACGGGAUACUGCGAGACUUGAGUUCGGGAGAGGGAAGCGGAAUUCCGGGUGUAGCGGUGAAAUGCGUAGAUAUCCGGAGGAACACCGGUGGCGAAGGCGGCUUCCUGGACCGACACUGACGCUGAGGCGCGAAAGCUAGGGGAGCAAACGGG